RNAcentral lists this ribosomal RNA (440 nucleotides) under uncultured bacterium. RNAcentral describes it as "partial 16S ribosomal RNA". It matches the Rfam family "Bacterial small subunit ribosomal RNA", at positions 338 to 795 of the family's 1533-position model. The record is from RNAcentral.
CCUACGGGAGGCAGCAGUGGGGAAUAUUGCACAAUGGGGGAAACCCUGAUGCAGCGACGCCGCGUGAGGGAAGAAGGUUUUCGGAAUGUAAACCUCUAUCAGCAGGGAAGAACAUGCCGGUUCCUGAUCAAGAAGCACCGGCUAACUACGUGCCAGCAGCCGCGGUAAUACGGAGGGGGCAAGCGUUAUCCGGAUUGACUGGGUGUAAAGGGAGCGGAGACGGCAGUACAAGUAAGGAGUGAAAUGCCGGGGCUUAACCCCGGAACUGCUUUUGAAACUGGGCAGCGAGAGUGCAGGAGAGGUAAGUGGAAUUCCUAGUGUAGCGGUGAAAUGCGUAGAUAUUAGGAGGAACAUCAGUGGCGAAGGCGGCUUACUGGACUGUAACUGACGCUGAGGCUCGAAAGCGUGGGGAGCAAACAGGAUUAGAUACCCCAGUAGUC